GUGUCAGCAGCCGCGGUAAUACAGAGGUUCCAAGCGUUGUUCGGAUUCACUGGGCGUAAAGGGUGCGUAGGCGGUCGGGUAAGUCUGAUGUGAAAGCUCCGGGCUCAACCCGGAAAUGUCAUCGGAUACUAUUCGGCUCGAGGGUUGGAGGGGGGACUGGAAUUCUCGGUGUAGCAGUGAAAUGCGUAGAUAUCGAGAGGAACACCCGUGGCGAAGGCAAGUCCCUGGAAAACUCCUGACGCUGAGGCACGAAAGCUAGGGGAGCAAACAGGAUUAGAUACCCCCGUAGUCC
Molecule: ribosomal RNA, 292 nt
Filed under: uncultured bacterium
Lineage: Bacteria
Description: partial 16S ribosomal RNA
Rfam family: Bacterial small subunit ribosomal RNA
Source: RNAcentral